This 481-nucleotide ribosomal RNA is filed under the name uncultured organism. RNAcentral's name for it is "bacterial SSU rRNA". It matches the Rfam family "Bacterial small subunit ribosomal RNA", at positions 28 to 507 of the family's 1533-position model. The record is from RNAcentral.
GAUGAACGCUGGCGGCGUGCCUAACACAUGCAAGUCGAGCGGUAUAUGCUGAAUUGAAACUUCGGUCUAUUGAAGGCAUAGAGAGCGGCGGACGGGUGAGUAACGCGUAGGCAACCUGCCCCAUACAGGGGGAUAGCCUCGGGAAACCGGGAUUAAAACCUCAUAACGCGGAGAGUCCACAUGGAUUUUCCGCCAAAGAUUCAUCGGUAUGGGAUGGGCCUGCGUCUGAUUAGCUGGUUGGUGGGGUAACGGCCUACCAAGGCGACGAUCAGUAGCCGACCUGAGAGGGUAAUCGGCCACAUUGGAACUGAGACACGGUCCAAACUCCUACGGGAGGCAGCAGUGGGGAAUAUUGCACAAUGGGCGCAAGCCUGAUGCAGCAACGCCGCGUGAGCGAUGAAGGCCUUUGGGUCGUAAAGCUCUGUCCUUGGGGAAGAAAAAAAUGACGGUACCCUUGGAGGAAGCCCCGGCUAACUACGUG